CUCGAAAGCGUGGGGAGCGAACGGGAUUAGAUACCCCGGUAGUCCACGCUGUAAACGUUGUGCACUAGGUGUGAGGAGUGUCUACCCUCUUCGUGCCGUAGCUAACGCAUUAAGUGCACCGCCUGGGGAGUACGGUCGCAAGACUGAAACUCAAAGGAAUUGACGGGGGCCCGCACAAGCGGUGGAUGAUGUGGUUUAAUUCGAUGCAACGCGAAAAACCUUACCUACCCUUGACAUGCCAGGAACUGACCAGAGAUGGUUUGGUGCUCGAAAGAGAGCCUGGACACAGGUGCUGCAUGGCCGUCGUCAGCUCGUGUCGUGAGAUGUUGGGUUAAGUCCCGCAACGAGCGCAACCCUUAUCAUUAGUUGCUACGCAAGGGCACUCUAAUGAGACUGCCGGUGACAAACCGGAGGAAGGUGGGGAUGACGUCAGGUCAUCAUGGCCCUUAUGGGUAGGGCUACACACGUCAUACAAUGGCCGGUACAGAGGGCUGCCAACCCGCGAGGGGGAGCUAAUCUCAGAAAACCGGUCGUAGUCCGGAUCGCAGUCUGCAACUCGACUGCGUGAAGUCGGAAUCGCUAGUAAUCGCGGAUCAGCUUGCCGCGGUGAAUACGUUCCCGGGUCUUGUACACACCGCCCGUCACACCAUGGGAGCGGGUUCUGCCAGAAGUAGUUAGCCUAACCGCAAGGAGGGCGAUUACCACGGCAGGGUUCGUGACUGGGGUGAAGUCGUAACAAGGUAGCCGUAUCGGAAGGUUGCGGCUGGAUCACGACCUU
Molecule: ribosomal RNA, 778 nt
Filed under: uncultured beta proteobacterium
Lineage: Bacteria; Pseudomonadati; Pseudomonadota; Betaproteobacteria
Description: bacterial SSU rRNA
Rfam family: Bacterial small subunit ribosomal RNA
Source: RNAcentral